Molecule: microRNA precursor, 85 nt
Filed under: Echinococcus granulosus
Lineage: Eukaryota; Metazoa; Platyhelminthes; Cestoda; Cyclophyllidea; Taeniidae
Description: microRNA egr-mir-10278 precursor
Source: miRBase by way of RNAcentral
ACUGAGGGCGGUAGUGUUUUUUUCGUUGACCAUCAAUGAAAUUGGAUGUGGUUGGGAAUGAGAGACACUCACCGCUUUUUAGAGC